RNAcentral lists this ribosomal RNA (656 nucleotides) under uncultured bacterium. RNAcentral describes it as "bacterial SSU rRNA". It matches the Rfam family "Bacterial small subunit ribosomal RNA", at positions 139 to 813 of the family's 1533-position model. The record is from RNAcentral.
GGGGAUAACAGUUGGAAACGACCGCUAAUACCGCAUAAGCCAACAGGGGCGCAUGCUCUGGUUGGAAAAGAUUAAUCGGUGUGAGAUGGACCCGCGUCUGAUUAGCCAGUUGGCAGGGUAACGGCCUACCAAAGCGACGAUCAGUAGCCGGCCUGAGAGGGUGAACGGCCACAUUGGGACUGAGACACGGCCCAAACUCCUACGGGAGGCAGCAGUGGGGAAUAUUGCACAAUGGGGGAAACCCUGAUGCAGCGACGCCGCGUGAGUGAAGAAGUAUUUCGGUAUGUAAAGCUCUAUCAGCAGGGAAGAAAAUGACGGUACCUGACUAAGAAGCCCCGGCUAACUACGUGCCAGCAGCCGCGGUAAUACGUAGGGGGCAAGCGUUAUCCGGAUUUACUGGGUGUAAAGGGAGCGUAGACGGUGAUGCAAGUCAGAAGUGAAAGCCCGGGGCUCAACUCCGGGACUGCUUUUGAAACUGUGUAACUGGAGUGCAGGAGAGGUAAGCGGAAUUCCUAGUGUAGCGGUGAAAUGCGUAGAUAUUAGGAGGAACACCAGUGGCGAAGGCGGCUUACUGGACUGUAACUGACGUUGAGGCUCGGAAGCGUGGGGAGCAAACAGGAUUAGAUACCCUGGUAGUCCACGCCGUAAACGAUGAA